RNAcentral lists this RNase P RNA (330 nucleotides) under uncultured Ruminococcus sp. RNAcentral's name for it is "Bacterial RNase P class A". It matches the Rfam family "Bacterial RNase P class A". From Rfam's summary of the family: Ribonuclease P (RNase P) is a ubiquitous endoribonuclease, found in archaea, bacteria and eukarya as well as chloroplasts and mitochondria. Its best characterised activity is the generation of mature 5'-ends of tRNAs by cleaving the 5'-leader elements of precursor-tRNAs. Lineage: Bacteria; Bacillati; Bacillota; Clostridia; Eubacteriales; Oscillospiraceae. The record is from RNAcentral.
CUGUGUGGCAGCGUGGAGCGAUCCAUGAGGAAAGUCCGGGCAUCAUAGGGCAGGGUAGCUGUUAACGGCAGCCGAGGGCGACCUUAGAGCAAGUGCAACAGAGAUAUACCGCUUUCAUAUGGAAGUAAGGGUGGAAAGGUGCGGUAAGAGCGCACCAGAGUGCAGGAGACUGUACUGCUAUGUAAACCUUACCUGAUGCAACGUCUAUUGGUACGUAUAGUCAUAACAUUUGCCCGAUGGAUUAUGCGUAAUGGCGGCUAAAGCCUUGCGGCGACGUAAGACGUAGAUAAAUUGUCACACACGACAGAACCCGGCUUAUAGGUCUGGUCA